RNAcentral lists this ribosomal RNA (253 nucleotides) under uncultured bacterium. RNAcentral describes it as "partial 16S ribosomal RNA". It matches the Rfam family "Bacterial small subunit ribosomal RNA", at positions 524 to 776 of the family's 1533-position model. The record is from RNAcentral.
UACGUAGGGGGCUAGCGUUGUCCGGAAUCAUUGGGCGUAAAGAGCGUGUAGGCGGCCCGGUAAGUCCGCUGUGAAAGUCGGGGGCUCAACCCUCGAAUGCCGGUGGAUACUGUCGGGCUAGAGUGCGGAAGAGGCGAGUGGAAUUCCUGGUGUAGCAGUGAAAUGCGCAGAUAUCAGGAGGAACACCAAUUGCGAAGGCAGCUCGCUGGGACGUAACUGACGCUGAGACGCGAAAGCGUGGGGAGCAAACAGG